This 33564-nucleotide long non-coding RNA is filed under the name Citrus maxima (pomelo). RNAcentral describes it as "long non-coding RNA (CMAX_LNC002265)". The stretch from base 21556 to 21662 matches the Rfam family "Plant small nucleolar RNA R71". Lineage: Eukaryota; Viridiplantae; Streptophyta; Magnoliopsida; Sapindales; Rutaceae. The record is from RNAcentral.
UCCACUUUAUUGAACGAUGGGGUCUCAAAUGGGCUGCCUCUUUGCCACUCUUUUGGUAGUAUCAGUCUCUUUAGCUACUUGCCGUUAGAAGCCUCCGCAAACAAAUACUACUACACAUCUCCUCCCCCUCCAAGUACAAGUCUCCACCACCACCCGCCACCGGUUCACAAUUCUCCACCACCACCCCGGUUUACCUGCCCCCGCCACCUCCUCCACCAGUCUACGUGCCUGCUCCGGCACCAACUCCAAUUUUCCCUUCUCCGCCACCUCCUGUCCCCAAGUCCCCACCACCACCUCACCCUUACGUCUAUGCAUCUCCCCCUCCUCCUUACUACUACUAGAAAGCGGCCAUGAAUAGCUCAUGCUUUUAUGGUAAUCUCAUUUAUUUUUAAAACUGUACAUGUAAAGACUAGUAGUUCAGAAUUACAUUAAGCAUUUCAAUUUUAAGCACCGUGUUCUGUUUAAUUGCGUUCCUAUUGAUUAAGUGACAAAUAAAAGAGAUUGAUUAAUUUGUUCUUGUAGGAGAGGCGAAUGGUAUCCGAAUAAAGAAAGCAAGGAUUUGAUGGAAGGCUUACUUGGAGCAAGAUAGCAUCAAUCGAGUUGCUGCGUUUUAUUCUCUUUUCUCUUUGUUUUUUAAGAAAAAUAAACUGCCACGUAGAAACAGAAAAUUAAGUUCUUGUCAUUUUCAUGCAUAUGGAUUGUUGCUGUGUGUGUCAAUCAAAUCUCCGUUGUGUCAUUUGUAAUUUUCAACCUUUAUGCAUGCAAAUGCGAGACCUCUUACGUAUAAUAAAAUUAAUAUACUUCCCAAGAUGGUCUUAUCUUGCGUUGACUUUUUACGUUCCUUUGGUGAUGAUUUUAACGUUUGAAAUUGAUGACUAUUGUUUUUGUAAACUCUGACAUGGAUUUUUCGUGCAACUAAAGAGCGCAUUAAUGAGAGGCUUAUCCAUGAGGGUCCAUGCAGAUCAGUGUCUAAUUAACCAAUAAUUAAUAUAACUUAAAAAAUAUAGAGUUAACAAUUUUUAUGGGUCAGGCUCAAUUGCAGAUGUUCGUACAAAAUUUCUUGCUAAUGUAUACUUGAGUAUGAUAAUAAGUUUUAAUCAUUAUUAAUAAUUCACUUGAUAAUAUUAAACAAAUUUUCAUAUCAAUUAAGUUACAAAAUUUCUGUGACAAAUUUCCACGUACUGGAACCAUGCAAAAGGACUUUAUUCAAACAAAGCUGCAUAGCCGUUGGCAAUUAAAAUUAUUUAUCAAUUACGUUAAGUAGUAAGAAUUGGAUUGUGGAUUCCAUUAAUUAUUUCAAGGAAAAUUUUAUAGAUAAUGCCGUAAUGAAAUUUACGGCAUCAAUACCAUGAUAAAUAUAAAUAUUGUAAAUUACAAAGAGAAUUAGUAAAGUAAAGUAAAACCAGUAAAUUCAUAAAAGAUUAUUAAUUAUUUAAAAAAUUAACAUUGUUUCUACAUAAUUUUAGUGAAAAAUAUUUUAUUCAUUUACAAAAUUUCUUUAAUUAAACAAAAAAAAUUCAUUAAUUAAGCAAAAAAAUUAUACUGAAAAAAAAGUGGAAUAAGUUUAAUUGAAUUGGUUAUCAUAAAUUCUAUAUUUUAGUCUAGACAUUUGUAUACAUUUUUUUUUCCCAUUUUCGAUAAUGAUAUCUAUUUGUUACACAUGUUAAUUAAGUGCAAUUAUUUAUCUUGAUGUGGACCAAGUAAAAAAAAAAAAAAGAGAUAUCAAUAAAAUUAGAUCUAAUUUUGAAUAUUAUGUAUACUUUAUGUAGUUUCAAACUUUUUACUUGUAUUUGGAGACCAUUUAAGGUUGUUGUUGAAGAAGUGUAGAAAGAUGUAAAAUAACUUCAUCUUACAACAACUAUGAAAGAUAUUAAAAUAAUAUUUUUUUCAAAAUCCGAUUUUGAGAAAAAAUUUCAUCCUUAAUUAAACAUCACAUGUAUUAUAGAAAUGAAAACUACCAUUGUUAUAUUUAAAUUAAAAAAUAAUAAAUAUAUAAGGUAAUAAACAUUAUAACGAGUUUUUAUUUUAAAAUUGUAAACUUUUGUUUCUGACAAUAACUCUUAUAUUAAUUAAUUUAUUUUGCAUUUUAUUCAUAAGUUUUAUGCAUAAUCUACAAACUUUAUGUUUUAUUUUGCAUUUAAUGUUGAUUUGGUUUUUUUAUAUUAUACGUAUAAGUUUUCAUUUUAUUUACCAGUAAUACAUCAAUUUAUCAGUUUUAUUGUAAUUUACUUAUUUUACCUUCCUUUUACAAUUCUUAUGUUUCAUUUUCAAAAUUUAUGUUUUAUUUUACAGUUGUUGAUGAUUUACUAGUUUUAUGUUAUGUUUGCAAGUUUUUGUUUUGUUUACUAGUAAUAGAUUAAUGGGUAAUUUUUAAUUGAGUCCUCAUUAGUUCUAGAAAAAAAAUUCAGAGACCAGAAGUUUACUAAUGAAUCAAUUAAAUUCUUUCAAGUACAAACUAAUGUCAUUCAAGUCCUUAACUUAAUUGCUCAGUUAAAAAUAUUAACAACAUUGAGGACAUUUUAGUAAAACACAAUUGAGUCGUUUCUCAUUCUUUAUUUUUGACAGGUGGAAAUAGUUUAAAGUUAACUCAAUUAACCUGAUUAAGUUAAGGAUCAGUUCUUUCAAAAAAAAAAAAAAAAAAGACCUACAGAAACUGCCAUAUUCUUCGUGUGAGAGGAGAGAUCGAGAGAACGUGGGAUGGUGCAAAAAAUGUUGUAUAAAACUACUGUGAUUUUGACCAAAGCUUUGGUAGCAUUGAUUGAGUUCAAGUACUGGAGAGAACCUAAGUUUAAAGGUUAGUAACUCUAUUUUUUUAGUGAUUUCUGCAAGCAUUUUCUGAUAAAAAAUUUUCCAUAUUGAGUGAUCGUUGUGAAAAUUAAGUUUUUCAAGUCUAUUUUUCAAAAUGACAAACUAUGUUUAAUUAUUGGUGGAUUCUUUUUUUUUGUUCAAUGUUGUAUUUUGUUAAUUUGUUGUUUUUAAUUUGCUCUUUAUGUAAUUGUUAGACCAAAUACACCAUUAUUAUACUUGUAUUCAUUUCAACAAUUUGGUAUCAUUAUAUAAAUAAGAUUGAAUUCAUUGUAUUUGCUUCUUUGUUCAUGUAAAAUUGAAUUCUAUGUAUUCUUAUGAGUGAUAAUUUUUCUAUCUAUUAGACUAAAUUCACUAUAUUCACUACUUUCUUUUUUUUUUUUUUUAGUUUAUAUUUUUUUAUAUGUAUUAGAUGAAUUUGCUUUUGUAUGUUUUUUUCGCCAAAUUGCAUGUAUAUUUCAUUUAGGUUGAGUUUUUUUUUGUUGUUUGCUAAAUAAAAUAUAUUGGUUUAUCCUUUUUUGAUGCAAUACUUUUGUUUAAAAUUAAUACAGGUAGCCAUGUUACCUUUUUUUUUCGGUUUAAAAUUAAUGGGGAUGUAUGCGAUAGGAUAUAGGGAACCAGAGGAAUAUAAGAUUAUUAGGCUGUUUCUUGAAAUUCAAGAUGUCAUGGUUAAGCAUGGACACAUUGAAAUGGAUUUGAUUGAAAUUUUUGUUGUAUUGCCAUGGACUACAAGUAGGCAGAGGAAGCUAAUUUCAAACGAUAGUGAAUUGUUUUNAUGAACAUGUACAAGAUCCCACUAGUUACAACAAAGCUCUAAUAGAUAGAGAUGUUGAAUUUUGGAAAAAGGCCAUGAAUCAAGAAAUGGAAUCUAUGUAUUCCAAUAAAGUCUGGGAACUUGUAGAGGCACCAAAUGGGGUAAAACCUAUAGGGUGCAAGUGGAUCUACAAGAGAAAAAGAGAGUAAACGGAAGGGUGGAAACAUUUAAAGCAAGAUUAGUAACCAAAGGGUUGUAUUUAGAAAGAGAAAUUGAUUAUGAGGAAACCUUUUCCCCGGUUGCUAUGCUUAAAUCCAUUAGGAUUCUGCUCUCCAUUGCUGCAGUGCUAGAUUAUGAAAUUUGGCAAAUGGAUGUCAAGACUGCCUUUCUUAACGGGCAUCUUGAAGAAAAUAUCUGCAUGCAGCAACCAGAUGGAUUUAUACAAAAAAGGCCAAGAACACAUGGUUUGUAAGUUGCAGAGAUCUAUUUUUGGAUUGAAGCAAACAUCCCAGUCAUGGAACAUCAGAUUUGAUCAAGCGAUUAAAUCGUUUGGAUUCAUUCAGAACAUUGAUGAAUCAUGUGUGUACAAGAAAAUUCAAGAAAAAUUUGUAGCCUUCCUAAUUCUUUAUGUAGACGAUAUUCUCCUAAUUGGAAAUGAUAUAGGAGUAUUGACUACAAUAAAAAGUUGGUUAGCAAAACAAUCUGAUAUGAAAGACCUGGGAGAUGUAAGUUAUAUUCUUGGUAUCAAGUUACUACGAAACCGGAAGAAUAAAAUUUUACCUUGUCUCAAGCAGUCUAUAUCAAUAAGAUAUUGGCUAGAUUUAGCAUGGAAAAUUCCAAGACUGGUUUAUUACCAUUCAAACAUGGAAUUACAUUCUCUAAAGAUCAAUCUCCUAAAACAUCUGAAGAGAUAGAGAGAAUGAGACGAGUUCCCUAUGCAGAAGCUGUGGGAAGUCUCAUGUAUGUCAUGCUUUGCACUAGGCCCGACAUCUGUUUUGCGGUAGGGAUAGUUAAUAGAUAUGAAUCUAAUCCUGGACCUAAACACUGGACUGCGGUCAAGCAUAUAAUGAAGUAUCUGAAAAGAACUAAAAAUUAUAUGCUUGUGUAUUCUGGUGAUGAACUCAUUCCAGUGGGUUAUACUGAUUCUGACUUUAUGUUAGAUAAGGAUUCCAGAAAAUCAACUUGCGGCUAUGUGUUUACAUUAGGAAGUGGAGCUAUUAGUUGGAGGAGUGUGAAACAAUCUUGUAUCGCAGACUCCACAACUGAAGCUAAAUAUGUGGCUGCAUCGAAGCUGCAAAAAGAAGCUGUAUGGCUCUGCAAGUUCCUACAAGAUCUUGAGGUGGUACCUGCUGUAACUGCACCCCUUAAACUAUUUUACGAUAAUAGUGGUGCGGUAGCUCAAUCUAAGGAACCACAAGAAACAAAAACAUAUUGAGAGGAAGUAUCAUCUUAUAAGGAAAUAGUGUAGAAAUGUUAUAUGACAGUGCCCCAAAUGACAUUAGAUGCUAAAUGACAGAUCUUAUUACAAUAGCCAUUAGUGGAAAACCUUUAUAACCUGCACUUAGAGCCCUAGAGCAUGUGCAAUAUGCCAGAUAUGCUUUAAGAGCUAGUGGGAGAUUGUUGGAAAAAUAUGCUCUUUAAAAGCAUAUGUGUUUAUUUAAUUGUAAUAAACAAUUUUUCUGAUUAAUAAAAUAAAUGAGGUAUUUUAUUCAAAUAUCUUAAUUGCAUUAAUAUUUUUAUUAAAGUCCAUUUAAUCAUAUUAUAUGUAUUUAUGUGAUCACCAUGUGGAUUCACAGAAGACAUAAAUACAAGUUAUCUUAUGAUUAAAUAAAUUUAGUUCGCAGUUGAUAAAUAAAGUUGGGCACUUUAUUUAGGUAUAUAGACUGUAAUAAAUUUAUUGAAUGAUUUGUCUUAAUCAUGUAUGAAUUUAUUGAUGUAGUACGACUACAUUGAACAGGAUCACAUAUGAGAUUUAAUUAACUUUGUAAUAACUGUCAGACUUAUAAAUCUCAUAGGCAUUGAUUUUACUGUAAUCUUAAUACUGAGUUAAUUAUGAUUUCAUGAUUGUAAUUGUUAUUCCAUUUGAGUUACCAAUGGGCACGACAUAUACUUGUGGUCAAGAUUACCCAGUAUCUUGGUGGGAGCAAUUAUGAGUAUUGGAGUUUAUGGAUUAACAAUAUAGAAUUUGUACAACACAUCUCUUGAUGGGUUUUGGCAGUUGAUCAUAUAAUUCUCUGGCCAGAGUGUGUCAAACAUAUUUAGUAUGUUGAAAAUAAUCAUUAACGAAAACCAGUAAGUAUUAAAAGAACACAAAUGUAAUUAAAUUGAUUGGAUAGUUGAGAUAUCGAUUUAAUUAAUGAUGUGGUACAAAGGAUUGUGCAGUAAAGAAAUCAAUGUGGCUUGAGACGAAUUAUUAUUCGAGCAUAUAAUUAUGGAAGUCAGUUCCAAUCUUUUAGUGGAGUAUUCCAAUCUUUUAGUGGAGUAGAUUUAGAAUUAAAUAAUUGGGCUAGUUUAAAUUACAGGCCUAAUUAUUGUAGCCACUAUUGUAUGUUCCCAAAUGAUCCCCGGGUUAGCUCAUUUAAUUGACUGCACCACUAUUGGAUUAAUAAGCAAGAUAACUAGCUAAUUUGGUCAAAAGCCUAAAUAUAUCAUUUAGUGGGAGGCUCCAUUUAAUUAGUUUGUGUGUAAGGGGCCUUAUGUUAUUUUACAAGGUAGGUCCCUUAUAGAAAAAGCAAGUAAUGUGAGUUUGUUUUUUAUUAUUUGGAGUCUAGGGUUUUCACUAAAGGGAGAUAUAAAAGGCUUAUUUUCUCUAAAGAAAAGAGAUAGCAGCCACUUUAUAUAGAUCAGAGAAAAAGAUUUUUCUCUCUAUUGUUGAGAGAAAAAUUUUCUCGUGCUAGUUGAUUUGGUAGUGAUAAAGGUGCCCACACGUCAAGUGCAGAUCAAACCUGAGUCAUAACCUGAAAGAUAAUUGGUGACAGUUCGUGAUCUAACAAGCGUGGUGGUGACGGAUCGUGAUUAGAAGCCUAAAUCACUUCAGCGGAAAAUCUAAAUCGAAUUUUCAAGGUACGAUUUCGAGAUUACGUAUUCUUAUAUAUUAUAUGAAGAGCGAUCUUAAAAAUGUUUUAUAAAAAAUUUAAAAAACUUAUCUUUCCCAACAUAUGGAACCAUGCAAAAGGGCUUUAUUUCAAACAAAGCUGCAUAGCCGUUGGCAAUCAAAAUACUUUAUCAAUUAAGUUAAGUAGUAAGAAUUGGAUUGUGGAUUCUAUUAAUUAUUUCAAGGAAAAUUUUAUAGAUAAUGGCGUAAUGAAAUUUACGGCAUCAAUACCAUGAUAAAUAUAAAUAUUGUAAAUUACAAAUAGAAUUAGUAAAUGUAAAGUAAAACCAGUAAAUUCAUAAAAGAUUAUUAAUUAUUUAAAAAAAUUAACAUUGUUUCUACAUAAUUUUAGUGAAAAAUAUUUUAUUCAUUUACAAAAAAAAAAUUCUUUAAUUAAAAAAAAUCAUUAAUUAAAUAAAAAUUAUACUGAAACAAAAGUGGAAUAAGUUUAAUUGAAUUGGUUACCAUAAAUUCUAUAUUUAGUCUAGAACAUUUGUAUACAUUUUUUUUCCCAUUUUCUAUAAUGAUAUCUAUUUAUUACACAUGUUAAUUAAGUGUAAUUAUUUAUCUUGAUGUGGAUCAAGUAAAAAAAAAAAAAGAGAUAUCAAUAAAAUUAGAUCUAAUUUUGAAUAUUAUGUAUACUUUAUGUAGUUUCAAACAUUUUACCUGUAUUUGGAGACCAUUUAAGGUUGUUGUUGAAGAAGUGUAGAAAGAUGUAAAAUAACGUCAUCUUACAACAAUUAUAAUGAUAUCUAUUUAUUACACAUGUUAAUUAAGCACAAUUAUUUAUCUUGAUGUGGAUCAAGUAAAAAUAAAAGAAAAGAUAUAUCAAUAAAAUUAGAUCUAAUUUUGAAUAUUAUGUAUACUUUAUGUAGUUUCAAACUUUUUACUUGUAUUUGGAGACCAUUUAAGGUUGUUGUUGAAGAAGUGUAGAAAGAUGUAAAAUAACUUCAUCUUACAACAACUAUGAAAGAUAUUAAAAUAAUAUUUUUUCAAAAUCCGAUUUUGAGCAAAAAUUUCAUCCUUAAUUAAAAAUCACAUGUAUUAUGGAAAUGCAAAACUACCAUUGUUAUAUUUAAAUUAAAAAAUAAUAAAUAUAUAAGGUAAUAAACAUUAUAACGAGUUUUUAUUUUAAAAUUGUAAACUUUUGUUUCUAACAAUAACUCUGAUAUUAAUUAAUUUAUUUUUUCCUUUUAUUCAUAAGUUUUAUGCAUAAUCUACAAACUUUAUGUUUUAUUUUGCAUUUAAUGUUGAUUUACUUUUUUUAUAUUAUACUUAUAAGUUUUCAUUUUAUUUACCAGUAAUACAUCAAUUUAUCAAUUUUGUAGUAAUUUACUUAUUUUACUUUCCUUUUACAAUUCUUAUGUUUAAUUUCCAAAGUUUAUGUUUUAUUUUACAGUUGUUGAUGAUUUACUAGUUUUAUGUUAUGUUUGCAAGUUUUUGUUUUGUUUACUAGUAAUAGAUUAAUGGGUAAUUUUUAAUUGAGUCCUCAUUAGAUCUAGAAAAAUAAUUCAGUGACCAGAAGUUUACUAAAUGAAUCAAUUAAAUUCUUUCAAAUACAAACUAAUGUCAUUCAAGUCCUUAACUUAAUUGCUCAGUUAAAAAUACUAACAACGUUGAGGACAUUUUAGUAAAACAACAAUUGAGUCGUUUCUCAUUCUUUAUUUUUGACAGGUGGAAAUAGUUUAAAGUAAAAAAAAUAAUCAAGGCCUAACUGUUAACAUGUAGAUGUUCAUUAUAUUGAUUUUGAUGAUAACAAACUUUAAAUAUUUUUUAUUAAAAUGUUGGAGUUUUCAUUACUAAACAAUUUCUCAAAAGUCGUAUGAUCUUUCUAAAUGUGUUCAUGAAAUAUGGAGAAUCGUUAACUUUAACCGAAAAAUCAUUCCCUGCGAAAUUUGGUUAAAAUUGUGAUUCUGGAAGUAAAUGGUGAACCAUUAACUUCAAAACGGCCAACCAAUAAUUUCCAGAAUGUCAUUCCAUGCUGACCUUCAAUCGUUUAGCAAGAACGGAUAGCAGAAAUUUGUUUUACAGGUUUAUGGAAAUUAACAGCAAACCGAUAGUGUCAAAAGAUCAACUGUUUAUUUGAAAUUUAUCGCAACGGUCACUUGAACCAGUCAAAACGGUUAACUGAUAACGGUUAACGGCGAUCCAAUUUCGGGAAAAAAGUCAACAAUGGCUAUUUUUCAACUCCAACAUUAAAUAAGCUCAAUCAAAUUCAAACAAGAGCUGAUCACAACAUUAUCAUUGAGCUUAUAAUCGAGAAUACAACAUUCAUUGAGCUUCAAAUUCAUUCUUGUUCAUUUAUUCACACAUUAAGCGUUGAUUUGUAAUCUCAAAAAAUUGUGUGAGAGAAAAAUAAAUUUGUAAUCUUUAUUUUGAGUGAUUGUAAAUGUUGGGAUACAUUUGGGUUAAGAGAUUGGGGAUAAUCUCUUGAUGUAAAGGUUGAUUGACGCCUAAGAAGUUAGUUGUAAGUGUUCUUGAAGCCUUGAAGGCUUGACUAGUGGAAUGCCCAAGCUCCGUGUGCUUGGAGGCGUGGAUGUAGGCAAGGUUGGCCGAACCACGUAAAACUCUCUAUAUUUUAAUCUCUCUUCCCUUAUCUUUUUAUAUUUUGGUUGAUUUAUUUAUUAUUGCUUUAAAUUUGUUUAAGAUUUUCAUUAAGUUUUGUUUAAGAAUUGCAUAAUUUUUAGAAACCCAAUUCACCCCCCUCUUGGGUUGCUUAGAUAUUAUUUCACUAACAUGCCUCUGUUUGUGCAAAAUAUAAUAAGGUAAUUUAGAGUACUAACCAUAGUACUCUUCCUCGAAAUUCUAGAAUAGGUUCGGUAGUUCCAUGAGCCCAUAGAUUGGCCCAUGCUCAGCACUGUUAUAGCUCCACACAUCAUGCAAGAUUACUCCCGCAACUAUUCCACACGACCUAAAGCAACACAUUGCCGACUAGCCCAAUAAGAUCUGCCUUAGUUCAUUAGUUGAAUAAUUUAUUUUAAUUCUAAUUUAUAAUAAGAAUGGCACUGAUAAAAUUACUGUAGCAAUUCAUAUAAUAAUAAUCCUUGUGGAGACGAUCUUGAAUACUAAUCAUUAUAUUACUUGUUGUGUAUAUUUUCACAUUGACACUAAUAGCAUUAGAAAAUCGACAACAAGUUUUUUGCGCCAUUGCUGGGGAUUGGUGCUUAUUGUGUUUUGUGAAAUCAAUUUUAGUUGGUACAAUAGAGUUCUUUGCCACCAGACUCCAUCACCACAUGGAAUGAUUUGGCUGACAAUAUUUUGAUGAAAUAUUUCCCACCAACAAAGAAUACAAAGUUGAAGAAUGAGAUCACAUCUUUCCAUCAACUUGAAGAUGAAAGCUUGUAUGAUGCAUGAGAAAGAUUCAAGGAGUUACUCAUGGUAUUCCUUAUUGCAUACAAUUGGAAACUUUCUACAAUGGGUUGAACUCAAGCACUAAGGGCUUUAUUGUCUAACUCAUAUAAUGAGGCUUAUGAAAUUUUGGAAAGGAUAACUAUCAAUGGCCAUCAACUAGACAAGCCACAGUGAGAGGAGCAGCAGGAGUACACAAUGUGGAUGCACUGACAACAUUAUCAGCCCAAGUAACCUCAUUGACAAAUAUGGUAAAAGCAACGGCCACUGCUCCAACAACAAUUAACCAAGUUGCUGAAGUCUCUUGUGUUUAUUAGAGAGAGGGACAUCUAUAUGAUAAUUAUCCUAGGAAUUCAGCUUCAGUCAAUUAUGUGGGCAAUUUUAAUAAACAAAAUCAAAGCAAUCAAUUUUCAAACACCUAUAACCUUGGAUGGAGACAUCACCCAAAUUUUUCAUGGAGCAAUCAGAAUCAGCAUGCUGCAGCAUCUAGUGGACAGAACAGACUUGCUCAACCACCUGGUUUUCACCAGCAAUUAUAAGGGUAAAGAAACACCAGUAAUGAUCAAUUUAGUUCCCUUGAAACUCUAAUUAAGGAGUAUAUUGUGAAGAUUGAAGUAGUGGUCUAAAGCCAAGUUGUAUUUUUAAGAAACUUGGAGAAUAAGAUUGGAUAGCUUGCUACAACAUUGAGCAACAUACCUCAGGACAGUUUACUAAACAAUACAGAGGAUCCAAAGAGAGAAGGAAAAGAGCAUUGUAAGGGGAUUAACUUAUGGUCUGGAAAGGAUGUUCAUAUUCUUGUUAAAGUACCAAAAAGAAAAGUGGAACCUAAUUCAACCCAAAGGGAAACUCAAAUUAAAGAAGAGACACAACAACCCAUUUUCCAGCACACUGGUGAGAGUUGCUAAGCUAUAACAACUGCAAAAAAACAUGAUUCAAUGCUUGUUGAGGAAGAAGCUGCAACACCAACAAUAACAGACCAUAAUAGAGCAAGAGAAAAGCAAUCUGUAUAGUCUGCUGCAGUACAACAAUUUACACAUCCACCAACAUUUCCACAAAGAUUUCAAAAGCGAAAGCAAGACAAGCAAUUCAAUAAAUUCUUGGAAGUAUUGAAACAACUGCAUAUCAACAUUCCUUUUGUGGAAGCAUUAGAACAAAUGCCAAAUUAUGUAAAAUUUUGGAAAUGUAUAUUGGCAAGGAAAAUGAGGCUUGGAGAAUUUGAAAUAGUUGGUCUAACACAAGAAUGCAGCCAUAUGCUUCAAAGUAAAAUGCCUCAAAAGAUGAAGGAUCUAGGAAGUUUCACAAUUCCUUGUUCCAUAGGAACUAAAUAUAGUGGCAAGACACUUGGGUAAUUUUUAGGGACCUCCCCUGAGGAUUGGUGUAUUAACACUUAGAUGGAAUGUAUUCGUGAAAUUACAAAUACCUCCCCUGCCGUUAGUAUAAAAAUACGUAUAACAUCAGUAUAGAAGGGUAAAUGUGUAAAAACAUAUUAAAAACUAAAAAUGUAUGCUUUUACUAGAUCAAUAAAAUUUUGACCACCACUUGCCCCCUGUUGACCCACCGUUGAGCAGCUGAUCAUGGCUCCACCGGUGGCUAGUGGUGGUGCUUUACUAGUGUGGGAGUUCCCUCCUCACACCGGCGACCAACCCCAUUCACGGUCCUUGUGGCACUAAUUAUGGGACUAGUGUAGCAUAAAUACUAAUAUUGCUUUUUAUUUUGUAAAUUAAUUGCUGCGUCAUAAUGUUUUUACAUACACAUUUUAUGUUUUAAAAUAUGAAUUUUUUUUUUGUAUUUAGGGUUAAUUUUACAAUUUCAUACUUUGUUCAAUUAUAUGUACAGGUCCUUAAUGUGUUGGUUGAUGUUGAAUAUUCAAAGAUCCACAAGCUAUCAACGACAACGAAUCAAAUUAAACUAAUUAGUUAAUACAUAAUGACUGGGUUGUUUCCUAUGCUUGUUAAUGAUGUAGGACGUUAUUUUAGGAUUUUAGAAUUUUAAUUAUUAGGUCUUCUGAUAUUUUCUUUUUUAAUUAAAGUCAGUGUCUUAGUUUUUUAUUUAUUUAUGUUAUAAUUAUAAUUUACUUUCUCUUUUUAAGUUAACUUAGGAAAAUAUAUUUACUGUAUUAUAAAGAGAUCUUGUUAUUACUUUAUAACUUCAACUUCAGUUAUUCAAUUAAAAACCCCUCUUUUAAAGUUGUUUGAUUAGAGCAUCAUCUAGCCUUGCUUAACGCAUUAUUAAAAAUCCCUUUGAGUUUAAUCACACUUCUAUUAGAGCGUAACUUAAUCGCAUUAACUUGGUCCAGUACUUGAACGAUAUCUAGUGUUUUGCUUCCGCUAUGCCCAAGGAGAAAAUUAAUUUCACCGUGAGAUAAGAGCAUUAAAAGGAAUUCAUAAGAAAUUUAAAUUAAAGCUAAGUUAAAUAUAUCGCUAGCUACUUGUUUUCGGAGGAAUUAAAACAAUUAAUAAGCUGCGAAGUGAAAAUGAAUAAAUAAAUGAAAUGAGGUUGAAAAUAAGUCUCGCCGCCUGGAUCCAAGGCCAAAACAUUCAUGAUAAGUUAGGUAAUUAAGUACAUGUUUUCAAGCUCUUCAUGAAGAAUAACGUUAUUGAAAUAAAUCACAAAGACUCCCUGCGCAAAUUAUUACAUUGAUUAAAAAAAAAAAACCCAUAUCUUUAACAGGAUCGUGACUCUCGGACUGUUAAUUACUUUAUUCCCUGCUUGGCCAACAGCUGGCCACUAAACAAAAUCAUAAAAAUUUUAAAUUUAGUCAAAUUGGUCCCACUUGAUGACAUCCUUUCCAAACAUAAAAUUGUUAACGUCAAGGUUAAAUAUGAGAAGUUUGGUAGAGAAGGUAAAAAGGAAGUCUAUAUAAGGAGGGGAACGAGCUUUGUUUAUAGCACAAGUGAAACUCCACUUUAUUGAACGAUGGGGUCUCAAAUGGGCUGCCUCUUUGCCACUCUUUUGGUAGUAUCAGUCUCUCUUAGCUACUUGCCGUUAGAAGCCUCCGCAAACAAAUACUACUACACAUCUCCUCCCCCUCCCAAGUACAAGUCUCCACCACCACCCCCGCCACCGGUUCACAAUUCUCCACCACCACCCCCGGUUUACCUGCCCCCGCCACCUCCUCCACCAGUCUACGUGCCUGCUCCGGCACCAACUCCAAUUUUCCCUUCUCCGCCACCUCCUGUCCCCAAGUCCCCACCACCACCUCACCCUUACGUCUAUGCAUCUCCCCCUCCUCCUUACUACUACUAGAAAGCGGCCAUGAAUAGCUCAUGCUUUUAUGGUAAUCUCAUUUAUUUUUAAAACUGUACAUGUAAAGACUAGUAGUUCAGAAUUACAUUAAGCAUUUCAAUUUUAAGCACCGUGUUCUGUUUAAUUGCGUUCCUAUUGAUUAAGUGACAAAUAAAAGAGAUUGAUUAAUUUGUUCUUGUAGGAGAGGCGAAUGGUAUCCGAAUAAAGAAAGCAAGGAUUUGAUGGAAGGCUUACUUGGAGCAAGAUAGCAAUCAAUCGAGUUGCUGCGUUUUAUUCUCUUUUCUCUUUGUUUUUUAAGAAAAAUAAACUGCCACACGUAGAAACAGAAAAUUAAGUUCUUGUCAUUUUCAUGCAUAUGGAUUGUUGCUGUGUGUGUCAAUCAAAUCUCCGUUGUGUCAUUUGUAAUUUUCAACCUUUAUGCAUGCAAAUGCGAGACCUCUUACGUAUAAUAAAAUUAAUAUACUUCCCAAGAUGGUCUUAUCUUGCGUUGACUUUUUACGUUCCUUUGGUGAUGAUUUUGACGUUUGAAAUUGAUGACUAUUGUUUUUGUAAACUCUGACAUGGAUUUUUCGUGCAACUAAAGAGCGCAUUAAUGAGAGGCUUAUCCAUGAGGGUCCAUGCAGAUCAGUGUCUAAUUAACCAAUAAUUAAUAUAACUUAAAAAAUAUAGAGUUAACAAUUUUUAUGGGUUAGGCUCAAUUGCAGAUGUUCGUACAAAAUUUCUUGCUAAUGUAUACUUGAGUAUGAUAAUAAGUUUUAAUCAUUAUUAAUAAUUCACUUGAUAAUAUUAAACAAAUUUUCAUAUCAAUUAAGUUACAAAAUUUCUGUGACAAAUUUCCACGUACUGGAACCAUGCAAAAGGACUUUAUUCAAACAAAGCUGCAUAGCCGUUGGCAAUUAAAAUUAUUUAUCAAUUACGUUAAGUAGUAAGAAUUGGAUUGUGGAUUCCAUUAAUUAUUUCAAGGAAAAUUUUAUAGAUAAUGCCGUAAUGAAAUUUACGGCAUCAAUACCAUGAUAAAUAUAAAUAUUGUAAAUUACAAAGAGAAUUAGUAAAUGUAAAGUAAAACCAGUAAAUUCAUAAAAGAUUAUUAAUUAUUUAAAAAAUUAACAUUGUUUCUACAUAAUUUUAGUGAAAAAUAUUUUAUUCAUUUACAAAAACAUUUCUUUAAUUAAACAAAAAAAAUUCAUUAAUUAAGCAAAAAAAUUAUACUGAAAAAAAAGUGGAAUAAGUUUAAUUGAAUUGGUUAUCAUAAAUUCUAUAUUUAGUCUAGGACAUUUGUAUACAUUUUUUUUUCCCAUUUUCGAUAAUGAUAUCUAUUUGUUACACAUGUUAAUUAAGUGCAAUUAUUUAUCUUGAUGUGGACCAAGUAAAAAAAAAAAAAAAAAAGAGAUAUCAAUAAAAUUAGAUCUAAUUUUGAAUAUUAUGUAUACUUUAUGUAGUUUCAAACUUUUUACUUGUAUUUGGAGACCAUUUAAGGUUGUUGUUGAAGAAGUGUAGAAAGAUGUAAAAUAACUUCAUCUUACAAUAACUAUGAAAGAUAUUAAAAUAAUAUUUUUUUCAAAAUCCGAUUUUGAGAAAAAAUUUCAUCCUUAAUUAAACAUCACAUGUAUUAUAGAAAUGCAAAACUACCAUUGUUAUAUUUAAAUUAAAAAAUAAUAAAUAUAUAAGGUAAUAAACAUUAUAACGAGUUUUUAUUUUAAAAUUGUAAACUUUUGUUUCUGACAAUAACUCUUAUAUUAAUUAAUUUAUUUUGCAUUUUAUUCAUAAGUUUUAUGCAUAAUCUACAAACUUUAUGUUUUAUUUUGCAUUUAAUGUUGAUUUGGUUUUUUUAUAUUAUACGUAUAAGUUUUCAUUUUAUUUACCAGUAAUACAUCAAUUUAUCAGUUUUAUUGUAAUUUACUUAUUUUACCUUCCUUUUACAAUUCUUAUGUUUCAUUUUCAAAAUUUAUGUUUUAUUUUACAGUUGUUGAUGAUUUACUAGUUUUAUGUUAUGUUUGCAAGUUUUUGUUUUGUUUACUAGUAAUAGAUUAAUGGGUAAUUUUUAAUUGAGUCCUCAUUAGUUCUAGAAAAAAAAUUCAGAGACCAGAAGUUUACUAAAUGAAUCAAUUAAAUUCUUUCAAGUACAAACUAAUGUCAUUCAAGUCCUUAACUUAAUUGCUCAGUUAAAAAUAUUAACAACAUUGAGGACAUUUUAGUAAAACAACAAUUGAGUCGUUUCUCAUUCUUUAUUUUUGACAGGUGGAAAUAGUUUAAAGUUAACUCAAUUAACCUGAUUAAGUUAAGGAUCAGUUCUUUCAAAAGAAAAAAAAAAAAAGACCUACAGAAACUGCCAUAUUCUUCGUGUGAGAGGAGAGAUCGAGAGAACGUGGGAUGGUGCAAAAAAUGUUGUAUAAAACUACUGUGAUUUUGACCAAAGCUUUGGUAGCAUUGAUUGAGUUCAAGUACUGGAGAGAACCUAAGUUUAAAGGUUAGUAACUCUAUUUUUUUAGUGAUUUCUGCAAGCAUUUUCUGAUAAAAAAUUUUCCAUAUUGAGUGAUCGUUGUGAAAAAUUAAGUUUUUCAAGUCUAUUUUUCAAAAUGACAAACUAUGUUUAAUUAUUGGUGGAUUCUUUUUUUUUGUUCAAUGUUGUAUUUUGUUAAUUUGUUGUUUUUAAUUUGCUCUUUAUGUAAUUGUUAGACCAAAUACACCAUUAUUAUACUUGUAUUCAUUUCAACAAUUUGGUAUCAUUAUAUUAAUAAGAUUGAAUUCAUUGUAUUUGCUUCUUUGUUCAUGUAAAAUUGAAUUCUAUGUAUUCUUAUGAGUGAUAAUUUUUCUAUCUAUUAGACUAAAUUCACUAUAUUCACUACUUUCUUUCUUUUUGCUGGGCUAUUUUUUUCUUUUUAGUUUAUAUUUUUUAUAUGUAUUAGAUUGAAUUUGCUUUUGUAUGUUUUUUUCGCCAAAUUGCAUGUAUAUUUCAUUUAGGUUGAGUUUUUUUUGUUGUUUGCUAAAUAAAAUUAUAUUGGUUUAUCCUUUUUUGAUGCAAUACUUUUGUUUAAAAUUAAUACAGGUAGCCAUGUUACCUUUUUUUCGGUUAAAAUUAAUGGGGUGAUGUAUGCGAUAGGAUAUAGGGAACCAGAGGAAUAUAAGAUUAUUAGGCUGUUUCUUGAAAUUCAAGAUGUCAUGGUUAAGCAUGGACACAUUGAAAUGGAUUUGAUUGAAAUUUUUGUUGUAUUGCCAUGGACUACAAGUAGGCAGAGGAAGCUAAUUUCAAACGAUAGUGAAUUGUAUUGGGUUUUCGAGGUGUUUUUUUUAUCAAUAGUUGUCCUGUCAUUGAGUUUGAGGUGCACACUGGGUCAGGUGGUCAGUUAUUUCAUGAAAGUGUUGUAAUAGGACCUGAAAAUCCUGUCAAUAUUAAAAAUUAGCGUUGUAAUAGUGAUAAGUUUGAAAAUCCUGUGGCUAAAAAGGGUUUGCCUAGAAUAAUUGGUUCUUCUUUAUUUGCCUCAAAGUCCAACACUAUGAAAUCCACUAGGAAAAAGAAUUUAUCCACUUUAACCAGCACGUCUUCAAUCUUACCUUCAGGAUAAGCAUGAGAUCUGGCAGCACAUUGCAAUGUCACUGUGGCUGGUCUGACUUCUCCAACUCCCAAUUGCUUGAAUUCUAAUAAUGUCAUAAGAUUGAUGCUUGGUCCCAAAUAGGGAUGACAAUUGUACCCGCAAACCCGCCCAAACCCACCUGCCAAAACCCGCCCAUUGCGGGUAAUUUUACCCAUUGCGGGCGGGUUUAGUAUUAUAAAUUAAAACCCGCGCAUGGAUGUGGGUGGGUUUAGUAUUAACCUUAUAUCCGGUGGAUACCCGCAUGGAUAUCCAUCAAACCCGCAAUAUUUUUUUUCAAAUAUUUUUAAUUUAAUUUAAAUAUAAAAAUGUAUAAAGAAAAUAAUGUCAUUAAUCAAAUUACCAAAUAGACAAAGGCUCAAAGUUGUGUAUGUGUGUAUGUGGCCCAUCUCUUAUUCUAAAGUCAUAACCUAAAGAAAACUAAAGGCAUUUCCCUUCGAAUUAGUAUUUAAAAAUAUUAAUCUUAAUUAUUAUUAUAGGCAUUGUGUUGGAUGGGUGCUUAUGGUGGUGAAUGAAAUGAAUAUCUUCUCUUGGAUCUUGUUUUAAAUGAUAAUAUGAAAUGUAAUUAUUAUUUUUAGAUACUAGUUUGUGUUUUUAAAAUAGAUUUGUGUAAUUUAUACUUAAAUUUGAGAAUUUGUAUUGAAUUGAUGUGGAAAUUUUAAUUUUUCAUUGACAUUGUUUAAAUAUAAAAUUGAGUAUGCUAUUUGGAAUUUGAGGUUAUUAUUAUAAAUUUAUAUAUUAAAUAUUUGUGAUUUUAAAUACGAAAACCCGCAAAAAUUCCGCCGGAUACUAUUGCGGGUUUGGUAAUUAUUAAAACCCGCUGCGGGUGGGUUUUUAAAAAAAAAUUAAAACCCGCGGCGGGUUGCGGGUGGGUUUAGUAAUUUAAAUUUUGUGCGGGUUUGGGUUUGAUAAUGGCAAAUCCGCUGCGGGCGGUGCCCAUUGCUAUCCCUAGUCCCAAAUCACAAAGUGUCUUGCCACUGUAUUUAGUUCCUAUGGAACAACGAAUUGUGAAACUUCCUGGAUCAUUCAACUUUUGAGGCAUUUUACUCUGAAGCAUAUGGCUGAAUUCUUGUGUUAGACCAACUAUUUCAACUAUUUCAAAUUAUUUGCCUCAAAGUCCAACACUAUGAAAUCCACUAGGAAAAAGAAUUUAUCCACUUUAACCAGCACGUCUUCAAUCUUACCUUCAGGAUAAGCAUGAGAUCUGGCAGCACAUUGCAAUGUCACUGUGGCUGGUCUGACUUCUCCAACUCCCAAUUGCUUGAAUUCUAAUAAUGUCAUAAGAUUGAUGCUUGGUCCCAAAUAGGGAUGACAAUUGUACCCGCAAACCCGCCCAAACCCACCUGCCAAAACCCGCCCAUUGCGGGUAAUUUUACCCAUUGCGGGCGGGUUUAGUAUUAUAAAUUAAAACCCGCGCAUGGAUGUGGGUGGGUUUAGUAUUAACCUUAUAUCCGGUGGAUACCCGCAUGGAUAUCCAUCAAACCCGCAAUAUUUUUUUUCAAAUAUUUUUAAUUUAAUUUAAAUAUAAAAAUGUAUAAAGAAAAUAAUGUCAUUAAUCAAAUUACCAAAUAGACAAAGGCUCAAAGUUGUGUAUGUGUGUAUGUGGCCCAUCUCUUAUUCUAAAGUCAUAACCUAAAGAAAACUAAAGGCAUUUCCCUUCGAAUUAGUAUUUAAAAAUAUUAAUCUUAAUUAUUAUUAUAGGCAUUGUGUUGGAUGGGUGCUUAUGGUGGUGAAUGAAAUGAAUAUCUUCUCUUGGAUCUUGUUUUAAAUGAUAAUAUGAAAUGUAAUUAUUAUUUUUAGAUACUAGUUUGUGUUUUUAAAAUAGAUUUGUGUAAUUUAUACUUAAAUUUGAGAAUUUGUAUUGAAUUGAUGUGGAAAUUUUAAUUUUUCAUUGACAUUGUUUAAAUAUAAAAUUGAGUAUGCUAUUUGGAAUUUGAGGUUAUUAUUAUAAAUUUAUAUAUUAAAUAUUUGUGAUUUUAAAUACGAAAACCCGCAAAAAUUCCGCCGGAUACUAUUGCGGGUUUGGUAAUUAUUAAAACCCGCUGCGGGUGGGUUUUUAAAAAAAAAUUAAAACCCGCGGCGGGUUGCGGGUGGGUUUAGUAAUUUAAAUUUUGUGCGGGUUUGGGUUUGAUAAUGGCAAAUCCGCUGCGGGCGGUGCCCAUUGCUAUCCCUAGUCCCAAAUCACAAAGUGUCUUGCCACUGUAUUUAGUUCCUAUGGAACAACGAAUUGUGAAACUUCCUGGAUCAUUCAACUUUUGAGGCAUUUUACUCUGAAGCAUAUGGCUGAAUUCUUGUGUUAGACCAACUAUUUCAACUAUUUCAAAUUAUUUGCCUCAAAGUCCAACACUAUGAAAUCCACUAGGAAAAAGAAUUUAUCCACUUUAACCAGCACGUCUUCAAUCUUACCUUCAGGAUAAGCAUGAGAUCUGGCAGCACAUUGCAAUGUCACUGUGGCUGGUCUGACUUCUCCAACUCCCAAUUGCUUGAAUUCUAAUAAUGUCAUAAGAUUGAUGCUUGGUCCCAAAUAGGGAUGACAAUUGUACCCGCAAACCCGCCCAAACCCACCUGCUAAAACCCGCCCGUUGCGGGUAAUUUUACCCAUUGCGGGCGGGUUUAGUAUUAUAAAUUAAAACCCGCGCAUGGAUGUGGGUGGGUUUGGUAUUAACCUUAUAUCCGGUGGAUACCCGCAUGGAUAUCCACCAAACCCGCAAUAUUUUUUUUCAAAUAUUUUUAAUUUAAUUUAAAUAUAAAAAUGUAUAAAGAAAAUAAUGUCAUUAAUCAAAUUACCAAAUAGACAAAGGCUCAAAGUUGUGUAUGUGUGUAUGUGGCCCAUCUCUUAUUCUAAAGUCAUAACCUAAAGAAAACUAAAGGCAUUUCCCUUCGAAUUAGUAUUUGAAAAUAUUAAUCUUAAUUAUUAUUAUAGGCAUUGUGUUGGAUGGGUGCUUAUGGUGGUGAAUGAAAUGAAUAUCUUCUCUUGGAUCUUGUUUUAAAUGAUAAUAUGAAAUGUAAUUAUUAUUUUUAGAUACUAGUUUGUGUUUUUAAAAUAGAUUUGUGUAAUUUAUACUUACUUUUGAGAAUUUGUAUUGAAUUGAUGUGGAAAUUUUAAUUUUUCAUUGACAUUGUUUAAAUAUAAAAUUGAGUAUGCUAUUUGGAAUUUGAGGUUAUUAUUAUAAAUUUAUAUAUUAAAUAUUUGUGAUUUUAAAUACGAAAACCCGCAAAAAAUCCGCCGGAUACUAUUGCGGGUUUGGUAAUUAUUAAAACCCGCUGCGGGUGGGUUUUUAAAAAAAAAUUAAAACCCGCGGCGGGUUGCGGGUGGGUUUGGUAAUUUAAAUUUUGUGCGGGUUUGGGUUUGAUAAUGGCAAAUCCGCUGCGGGCGGUGCCCAUUGCCAUCCCUAGUCCCAAAUCACAAAGUGUCUUGCCACUGUAUUUAGUUCCUAUGGAACAACGAAUUGUGAAACUUCCUGGAUCAUUCAACUUCUGAGGCAUUUUACUCUGAAGCAUAUGGCUGAAUUCUUGUGUUAGACCAACUAUUUCAAAUUCUCCGAGCCUCAUUUUCCUUGCCAAUAUACAUUUCCAAAACUUUACAUAAUUUGGCAUUUGUUCUAAUGCUUCUACAAAAGGAAUGUUGAUAUGCAGUUAUUUCAAUACUUCCAAGAAUUUACUGAACUGCUUGUCUUGCUUUCGCUUUUGAAAUCUUUGUGGGAAGGAUGGUGGAUGUGUAAAUUGUUGUACUGCAGCAGACUAUACAUAUUGCUUUUCUCUUGCUCUAUUAUGGUAUGAUAUUGUUGGUGCUGCAGCUUCUUCCUCAACAAGCACUGAAUCAUGUUUUUUUUGCAGUUGCUAUAACUUAGCAACUCUCACCAGUGUGCUGGAAAAUGGGUUGUUGUGUCUCUUCUUUAAUUUGAGUUUCCCCUUGGGUUGAAUUAGGUUCCACUCUUCUUUUUAGUACUUUAACAAGUAUAUGAACAUCCUUUCCAGACCUUAAGUUAAUCCCCUUACAAUGCUCUUUUCCUUCCCUCUUUCGAUCCUCUGUAUUGUUUAGUAAAUUGUCCUGAGGUAUGUUGCUCAAUGUUGUAGCAAGCUGUCCAAUCUUAUUCUCCAAGUUUCUUAAAAAUACAGCUUGGCUUUAGACCACUACUUCAAUCUUCACAAUAUACUCCUUAAUCAGAGUUUCAAUGGAACUAAAUUGAUCAUUACUGGUGUUUCUUUACCCUUAAAAUUUCUGGUGAAAAUCAGGUGGUUGAGCAAGUCAGUUCUGUCCACUGGAUGCUGCAGCAUGCUGAUUCUGAUUGCUCCUUUUAAAAUUUGGGUGAUGUCUCCAUCCUAGGUUAUAGGUGUUUGAAAAUGGAUUGCUUUGAUUUUGUUUAUUAAAAUUGCCCACAUAAUUGACGGAAACUGAAUUCCUAGGACAAUUAUCAUAUAGAUGUCCCUCUCCAUAAUAAACACAAGAGACUUCAGCAAUUUGGUUAACUGUUGUUGGAGCAGUGGCCGUUGCUUUUACCAUAUUUGUCAAUGAGGUUACUUGGGCUGAUAAUGUUGUCAGUGCAUCCACAUUGUGUACUCCUGCUGCUCCUCUCACUAUGGCUUGUCUAGUUGAUGGCCAUUGAUAGUUAUCCUUUCCAAAAUUUCAUAAGCCUCAUUAUAUGAGUUAAACAAUAAAGCCCCUAGUUAUUGAGUUCAACCCAUUGUAGAAAGUUUCCAAUUGUAUGCAAUAAGGAAUACCAUGAUGAGGGCAUCUCCUGAGUAACUCCUUGAAUCUUUCUCAUGCAUCAUACAAGCUUUCAUCUUCAAGUUGAUGGAAAGAUGUGAUCUCAUUCUUCAACUUUGCAUUCUUUGUUGGUGGGAAAUAUUUCAUCAAAAUUUUGUCAGCCAAAUAAUUCCAUGUGGUGAUGGAGUCUGGUUGCAAAGAACUCCACUGUACCAACUAAAAUUGAUUUCACAAAACACAAUAAGCACCAAUCCCUGGCAACGGCGCAAAAAACUUGUUGUCGAUUUUCUAAUGUUAUUAGUGUCAAUGUGAAAAUGUACACAACAAGUAAUAUAACGAUAAGUAUUCACUCCACAAGGAUUAUUAUUAUAGGAAUUGCUACAGUAAUUCUAUCAGUGCCAUUCUUAUUAUAAAUUAGAAUUUAAACAAAUUAUUCAACUAAUGAACUAAGGCAGAUCUUAUUGGGCUAGUCGGCAAUGUGUUGCUUUAGGUCAUGUGGAAUAGUUGCGGGAGUGAUCUUGCAUGAUGUGUGGAGCUAUAACAGUGCUGAGCAUGGGCCAAUCUAUGGGCUUAUGGAACUAGCGAACCUAAUCUAGAAUUUCGAGGAAGAGUACUCUGGUUAGUACUCUAAAUUACCUUAUUAUAUUUUGCACAAACAGAGGCAUGUUAGUGAAAUAAUAUCUAAGCAACCCAAGAGGGGGGUGAAUUGGGUUUCUAAAAAUUAUGCAAUUCUUAAACAAAACUUAAUGCAAAUCUUAAACGAAUUUAAAGUAAUAAUAAAUAAAUCAACCAAAGUAUAAAAAGAUAAGGGAAGAUAGAUUAAAAAACAGAGAGUUUUACGUGGUUCGGCCAACCUUGCCUACAUCCACGCCCCCAAGCACACCGAGCUUGGGCAUUCCACUAGUCAAGCCUUCAAGGCUUCAAGAACACUUACAAUUGACUUCUUAGGUGUCAAUCAACCUUUACAUCUAGAGAUUAUCCUCAAUCUCUUAACCCAAGUGUAUCCCAACAUUUACAAUCACUCAAAAUAAAGAUUACAAAUUUAUUUUUCUCUCACACAAUUUUUUAAGAUUACAAAUCAACGCUUAAUGUGUGAAUAAAUGAACAAGAAUGAAUUUGAAGCUCAAUGAAUGUUGUAUUCUCGAUUAUAAGCUCAAUGAUAACGUUGUGAUAAGCUCUUGUUUGAAUUUGAUUGAGCUUAUUUAUAGUUAGAGUUGAAAAAUAGCCAUUGUUGACUUUUUCCCGAAAUUGGAUCGCCGUUAACCGUUAUCGGUUAACCGUUUUGACUGGUCCAAGUGACCGUUGAGCUGAAUUUCAAAUAAACGGUUGAUCUUUUGACACUAUCGGUUUGCUAUUAAUUUCCAUAAACCUGUAAAACAAAUUUAUGCUAUCCGUUCUUGCUAAACGGUUGAAGGUCAGCAUGGAAUAACAUUCUAGAAAUUAUUGGUUGGCCGUUUGAAGUUCACGGUUCACCGUUUACUUCUAGAAUCACAGUUUUAACCAAAUUUCGCAGGGAAUGCUUUUUCGGUUAAAGUUAACGAUUAUCCAUAUUUCAUGAACACAUUUAGAAAAAUCAUACGACUUUUGAGAAAUUGUUUAGUAAUGAAAACUCUAACAUUUUAAUCAAAUACAUUUAAAGUUUGUUAUCAUCAAAAUCAAUAUAAUGAACAUCUACAUGUUAACAGUUAGGCCUUGAUUAUUUUUUAAAUCUUAUAAGAUAUAUUGUGAUAAUAGUAACUCAAUUUUCAUAAAACGUGGAAAGAUCAGUCGCCAAAUUUAUAGAUGCCAUAGAAAAUCUAGAUUUUAGUAAGGAAUAUCAAGUUAUUUAUACAAUGAAAAUUGUUAAAACUCGAUUAAUUGCAAGGAAACACUUUUAGAGAGAUAUGGAGAGAAUAAACUUUGAAGAUAACAAUGAAAUACAUGACACAUUUAAGGAAGAAAAUAUAAUAGUAUUAAUAGAAUCUAUUUUAACCGGUCUUAAGAUCAUUCAAGAUUGAUGCAAAAUAAAUAACAGGACUCUAAACCGUCCAUAAUAAGUCUAUUGAUUAAUAAUAACAAUAAUAGUGAUGUGAAAUUUUUUAUUCAGAAUGCUCAAUUUAGAUUAUAAUAUCUAUGUGAAAGCAUUGAUGGCAUGUACCUUGGUUAGGAAAAUAGAUUGGACACAUGGAUAUAUAUGUUGGAAGAACAAAUCUAGUUUAUAUCUCAAGAGAGAUAAUAAAUUAUAAAUGACGGUGCUAUAGUAUAUUCAGAUUUUAUAAAUCUUUAUAAAUUUAAUAAUCAUUUAGAUCUUCAUAAUAUUAUAAUAAAACUUUAAAAAUAUAUGUAGAAGAGAUGGAAGAAGAAAUCAUCCAGUUAUUCAAAAUCAAUUAAACAAAAAUAGAAGGUAAAAUCCUUGAAUUAUAUAAAUUAUACAAUUUCACAGAAAUUUUGCAUAUAUUGUGAAACGGUCCUUGUGGCACUAAUUAUGGGACUAGUGUAGCAUAAAUACUAAUAUUGCUUUUUAUUUUGUAAAUUAAUUGUUGCGUCAUAAUGUUUUUACAUGCACAUUUUUUGUUUUAAAAUAUGAAUUUUUUUUUUUGUAUUUAGGGUUAAUUUUACAAUUUCAUACUUUGUUCAAUUAUAUGUACAGGUCCUUAACGUGUUGGUUGAUGUUGAAUAUUCAAAGAUCCACAAGCUAUCAACGACAACGAAUCAAAUUAAACUAAUUAGUUAAUACAUAAUGACUGGGUUGUUUCCUAUGUUGUUAAUGAUGUAGGACGUUAUUUUAGGAUUUUAGAAUUUUAAUUUUUAGGUCUUCUGAUAUUUUCUUUUUUAAUUAAAGUCAGUGUCUUAGUUUUUUAUUUAUUUAUGUUAUAAUUAUAAUUUACUUUCUCUUUUUAAGUUAACUUAGGAAAAUAUAUUUACUGUAUUAUAAAUAAAGAGACCUUGUUAUUACUUUAUAACUUCAACUUCAGUUAUUCAAUUAAAAACCCCUCUUUUAUAAUUUCCUUUUGUAUUAUCUAUUAAAAACCCCUCUUUUAAAGUUGUUUGAUUAGAGCAUCAUCUAGCCUUGCUUAACGCAGUAUUAAAAAUCCCUUUGAGUUUAAUCACACUUCGAUUAGAGCGUAACUUAAUCGCAUUGACUUGGUCCAGUACUUGAACGAUAUCUAGUGUUUUGCUUCCGCUAUGCCCAAGGAGAAAAUUAAUUUCACCGUGAGAUAAGAGCAUUAAAAGGAAUUCAUAAGAAAUUGGGAAAAUAUCCACCGUCCACCUGAUUUUGUCCACUUUUUUAAAAAUACACAAAUCUUAAUUUUUUUUGCUGCGCUACACCUAAACUUAUUUUUUUUUUCACAUUUCCACCUCCGUUUGCAAACCGUCAAAACGUUGCUGACGUCAUAAGGAUAAAAUAAUAAUUUCACUUGGGCUUCAAAAACAACUUCGUUUAAGAUCUGUAAUUUAACCUUUUCGUUUGAUUCUGGAGUAAGGUUGGCCCUACAAACCGGGCAUGUCACGUGAGAGGCUAAGUAGAGUGGGCUCUGACCGAAAAACUAAAUUUUUAUCUAUUUUGUGUAAAUUUACUGAUUAACCACCUCGAAUUCAAUAAUAUUUGUUUCAACCCAAUUAAAUAAUAUUAUAACCCCUGCCGACCCAUAAAAUCAUGGUUCCACGCACUAUAACCAUAUAAAAGGGCUUUAUUAAAACAAAACUGCAAUUAAGAUCAUUUAUCAAUUAAAUUAAGUAGUAAUUAAGACUUUGAUGGUGGAUUCUAUUAAUUGUUUCAAAGGAGUGUCGGAUUUGUCUUCUUUCUAUUGUUUUUUCAACUUUCAGAUAACAAAUUAACAUUAACACAUACCUAGCUAAAAAAGGAAACAAGUGAAGUAAUAUAAUGUCAACUAGGAAUAGGUCUAGUGCUUUAACCAACACCUUCAGAUACCUUAAUUUGAUUUUUUAAAAAUCAAAACAAAUUAAUGAAUUAAAACAUUAUAAUACUCCAAAUGUACUUAUGAAGUAACUUAAUUUAUUAUCGAUAAAAAAAAAAUUUAAUAACAUAUUAAUAUUAUUUAGUUCUUCAUGGUCAGUCUUUUUCUAAUGUGAAAUUUUGACAUUCACAAGAAAUUAUAGAAUACAUCAGAGAUAUCGUGUCAAUCAUACAACAAAUAAUUGAUGUUAUAAUAUAUGUGCAUUUAUUUUAACAAAUUACCAUGCAAGUAAUUGUUAUAUUAAAUUCAAUUAUUCAUAUUAUACAUACAUUAGUUAGUUGUAUUACCUUUAAUGAAUAAAGUUUUGAGAAGUGUGCUCAAAUCUUUUCGACCAUGAGGUCAUUACCAUUAGAGGUAUGUCUUGUUACAUCAAUAAAAGUCAUCACUUUCCUUUUGGUAAAUCAUCCAUUAAGAGUUCCAGACCAUUAGAGAUUAUAUAUUCUAAUGUAUGGGGUCCUGCUCUUAUUACUUCCAUUGAUGGUUUUAGAUAAUACAUUAUUUUUAUUAACCAUAUUACUAAAUAUGUCUGGCUCUAUCCUUUACGUAUUAAAUCAUAUGUUUUCUCAACAUUUAAUUCAAUAUAAAAAUGUAGUUGAAAAAUUUUUUCACACUAAGAUUGCUUCAGUAUAUACUGAUGGUGGUGGUGAAUUUAUUAAAUUAAAACAAUUUUUCAAUCAAACAGGAAUCUCUCAGUUACUCACACCACCAUAUACAUCUCGACUAAUCAUGAUCUUUCCGUUGUUUGGAUUGUAAAGCUUGUAUCCUUUGGAGUUGUUGUCAUAGCCGAUUCAGAUGAACUUCUCACUUUUGUCAUCCAGCUUAGCUCUUCUUUCGUCUGGUAUAUGUACAUGGGCAAUGCUUCCAAAACUCUUAGAUGGGUGAUGCCGGGCUUUCUUUCACUCUAAGCUUCUUGUGGCGUCUUGCCCCACACACUUCUUGUUGGAGAUUGAUUGGAUAAGUAGACUGCACAUGCAACAACUUCAGCCCAAAAUUCUUUAGGUAGCCUCUUACUCUUGAGCAUGCUUCUUGCAAUGUCGAGGAUGGUUCUGUUAUUCCUUUCCUCAACACCAUUUUGUUAGGGGGAUCUUGGAACUGUCCAAGGGCGUCAAAUUCCAUUUAUUUUAAAAAACUCUACAAAUUCUUUGGAAGUGAACUCUCCACCUCAAUUAUAUCUCAUGGCUUUAAUCUGGUAUCCACUUUCUUUUUCAACUACUGCUUUAAAAUUUUUGAAAGCUUUAAAAACUUUUGAUUUAAAAAAAAAAACACCUAAGUUUUCCUGAAAAAUCAUCUAUGAAGAGAAGGAAGUAGUUACUUUUACCAAGGGAGCUUGGCUUGAAUGGACCGCACACAUCAGUAUAAAUGAGCUCAAGUGGCUUCUGAGCUCUUGAGUUUGACUCCUUUGGAAAGCUCUUUCUGAACUGCUUGCUAAGUAAACAUCCUUCACAAAGUUAUUUGGUGGCUACCAUCUUUUGCACAAAAAAGAAUGUUACCUCUACCCUUUACUGGUACUUUUGAAUCAUCUCCAAAAGAGACACUGCCAUUUACAGAUUCAUUUAGUUCCACGAACAUGCUUCUGUUUCCGCUCAUAUGAUUGCUAGCACCUGUGUCAAGAUACCAUGUAUUUUCUUGACCUCCACUUGUGUCAUUGCGUGCUAGUAAAAGGGUUUCAUCUUCACCAUUUUUCUCUUCAACACAAUUCACUCUCUCAUCAAUUCUGGUAGUUGCAGCUCUACAUUCUGAAGCAUAAUGCCCAAACUUUUGACAAUUAUAGAAUUAUACUUGAGAUUUGUCAUACCUCGAUCUUGGAUUGCCUUUUCAUCGUCCUCUGGUUGAGCUUUCUCCUUCGGCAUAAUUGGAGUUGUUGUUCUUGAAAUUCCAACCUCAUCCAUGACCACGACCUCUACCUCGUCCUCGACCUCUACCUCGGACAUAAUGCCUUCUCUCAUUGUCGGAGCUUUCUUCUAUUUUCUUUGGAUUGACUUCUAUAUUGAGAAGUUGUUCUUUGAUUCCUUACUUCUUUUCCAGUUUUUCUUCAUAAGCUUGCAACCUUCCUUAAAAUUGCUUGAUCGUCAUAUCUUACAGAUUUUUUGUUUCCUCAAUUGUCACAAUAAUAUGGUCAAACUUCGAGUUUACUGAUCGAAGUAUCUUUUCAAUGAUCCUUACCUCUUUUAACUCCUCGCCAUUUCUUUUUAAUUUAGAGGAAACGGUCAUAACCUGAGUAAAGUAGUAAAAAAUUGACUAUAAUGCCUUCAUGUGUAAAGACUCAAAUUUUCCUCGUAAUGUUUAGAGAUGAACCUUCUUAACUUGGUCCACUUCUUUAUAAGAGAUCUCUAACUUCUCUUAUGCUUCUUUUUAAGAGAUUGCACUUGCAAUCUAUCUUCAUCUAAUGAUUGAAAGAUGAGAUACUUUGUUUUAUUCUCUUUCUUCUUCAAGUUUUUUAAAUUCUCCUUCUGUGCUGCAGUUAAAGUGGCUUCAUUUUCUGGCAGAAUAAAGUCUUUUUUCAUGACAUCUCAUACAUCAUGUGCACCCAAUAGAGCCUUCAUUUUAAUACUCCAGUUGUCAAACUUACUCCCCUUUAAUUGUGGAACUUAAAAUGACAUCAUACCACUAUUUGCCAUAACUCACAAAUUGACUGAGAAUUUGGAGAUUCUGAGUGGAUGGAUGGAACCGGCACGUCGAAAAACCUUGGAAGGGACUCAAGUCAACUUUCAGUCAAUGGUCAACACCGAUCAACGAUCUACGUCAGUCAACGGUCAACGUCGGCUUAGUUGACUUGGUUCGGUCCGGCUUGGUUCGGUUCGAGUUGGCUUGGUUUGACUUGAUUCGGUUCGGCUCAGCUCGACUUGGUUCGGUUUGGUUUAGCUUAGUUCAACUCGUUGAGUCGACUCAGCUUCAGAACAGAAAACUUCCGGUGGCUAGUACAGGUGCAUCUGAUCUCUUAUCGGGCUGAGUUUUAUGGCGUCGCGUUCCUCUUGUCGAGAUAUUCGAUUUGAUAUGUUAUAUGACUAUAUAUAACAUUGAUCACUAGCUCUGAUACUACUUUGUUGGAGAAUCAACAAAUUAAACACUAAAAAAACACUCUAUUUUAUUUCUUCAACAACACUCCUCAACUACAACUCUUAUUUUUCACUCUCUACAACUUAGAGAUUUUGUUACUUCACUUGAUGCAUAACCAAAUGACACAAGGGGGUAUUUAUAGUAUAUGAGAAGAAAUCUAAACUAUUCAAAUAAGAAAUUACAAAAAAUUAAUAACCAUUCAUCUUCACCUACUAAACCUACCACACCUAAAAUAAAUAAUUCAAACCUCACCAACCAUACCUACUCAUGGAACCUUCCAUGGGUUGGGCUUAUUAAUUUGUUUUUGAAUUUUUUUUUUAUCUUGGAUCAAGUCUAUGAUCCAACAAAAUUAACCACAAUAGUUUAUGGAAAACAAAUAAAUAAAAUUACACUAUCACAAAAUUUAGGUUGCAUGUGUAGUGCUAUAAAUGCACACCUGUUAGAGUAUUAUAAAAAAAUAAAGCAUCGCUUAGUUUGGCAUUAGAUUCAAAUACAUGUGCAUAAAUCUUUGUGUUUUUAUACAAAUUAAUAAAAGCACUCUGGUUGAAGUUGAAAGAAAUUUAGAUUUAUUGCAAAUAGAUGUAGGCAAUCAAAAAAACUAGAAUUAACAACUUAAUUAAUUUUCGUAAAUAUUGGUCAUCGUUACUGUUUACCGUUACUGUUCUUUGGCAUUGUUCAUGGUUACUGUUCAUCCGCAUCACGAAUAUAAGUUUCCAAAAACACAAUAAAUUGCAGAAAUUAAAUGACGCGGAGAUUUUUACGUGGUUCAGAUUAAUCAAUCCUACAUCCAUGGGGUUACGCCCAAGUGAAAAGUAAUUCAUUAAGUUGAGAUGUUAUAACCUAUGGAUUUAUCAAACUUAAAACUCUCAUUUACAGUUUAUCACCAUACAAUUUACUCAACCUUAGAGUGAAUAUGCUUCUCUUGAAUAAUUACUACCCCUCUUGAUCCACGAUCCUUAAGACACUUUGUAAAGUGAUCAAUAGGAAUUUUUUAAUAUCCAGUGAUCCAAGAUCCACAUAGACUCUUCAUAAAGAUGAAAAGAAGAUAAGAAAAUAAAUCAACACAACAUUAUGCACAAAAUUUGAAUUCUCUAGGGAGGAGACCGAAUUUUGCUUCUUUGUUUUAUGUCAAAUUCCUCACUGCUUGUCCUAAGGACUGUAAUAAUAAAUGGUACUCAGCAUAACAUAUGAUACAAGUUAGAAUCAACAGUAAAAGGGUUAAUCAAACCAUUGACUUAAAUCGAGUCUAUAAUGACUGUAAUCCUGAAUUAUUUGAGCCUAAAGCUCUUACCAGCAAAUGGGUAGUUGAGAUGAAAGUCCUCUAUAAACAACUUGAACGAAUAAGUAAAGAAUAAAAUAUGGCUUCACCAAGUCAUGACAGAAAAUAUAAGCAAAAAAGAAAACAUUUUAGCCAAACAAGCCAUCUUGAAAAAGAAGAAGGCAAUAUAUGAGAAUCUUGUGGAAUCUAGCUUACUAACACACCAUAGGAUAUGCAAGGUGCUUAAGCAUUGUGGCUUUUGCUAUAAAAAAUCAAAAGAAGAAUUUAGCGAGAAAAGACAUGUCACUAGAUGAAGAGCUUGUACUUAGUAUGUGAUAGGAGACCACUAAAAAGAUAAAAGAUGCUAGCUAAAAGCAUCAAUAAUUCAUAGAGAAUCCAAGGGAAAAGAUAAGGCUUAUCAGAAUCCUUACCUCAACCAUAUGAAGACUGUUAACCAUAAAAAAAAGAAGACAAUAGUUGUCUUCAAUAAUGCAAGGGGAAGGGUUAGCUUGUUUCUAGGAAGUCUACCAUGUAACAAGUGCUAUGUAAAAAAAGAUAAUCUCAUCUCUAAAAUCCAUAUGUGUCCUAUAAGAAGGGAUUAUGUUAUCUGUUCAAGUCUAUAAAUAGGGUCAUGUUAGAUAGGAGAUGUAUAACUCACGAAUAUACUCUUAUUCCCAUCUUUAUUCUCUCUUUAAAUUCAUAAAUAAAUUGAAAAAAAAAAACUCUUUUUGAGUGAAAUUAUCAUCUUUAUAUCUAUCUUAUUUAGACUUGAGAAAAAAAAUCAAGAAUCUUACAUGCCAACACUUGUGUUAAAUGAAAAAGAUUUCAUUUUAUUAAGCACUCUUCUAAAGGCAAUUGCAAGGGAUUCACAUAGAUAGAUCUUAUUAGGCAAGUCUGUAGUGUGUUGCAUUAGGCCGUGUAGAACAGUUACAGAAGUGAUCUUGCAUGAUGCGUGCAGCUAGAGCGAUGUUGACCAUGGGCCAAUCUAUGGUCUCGAGUUAUUAGCGAAUUUAUUCCCGAAUUUUGAGGAAUAGUACAUUGGCUAGUACAUGGAAUUAUCUUAUUAUAUUUUGGACAAACAGAAGCAUGUUAGACCUAGAUUAUCUUUUAGAUCUUACAAGAUAUAAAGUGAUAAGUGUAACUUAAUUUUCAUAAAACGUUGAAUGAUAAGUCAAGAAACUUCUAGAUGCCACAGAUAAUCUAGACUUUAGUUAGGAAUUUAAGUUAUUUAUGCAAUGGAAAUUGUUAAAACUCGAUUAAUUGCAAGCAAACGCUUGUAUAAAGACAUAAAGAAAAUAAACUUUGAAGAUAACAAUGAAAUAUAUGAGACCUUUUAGGAAGAAAAUAGAAUAACAUUAAUAGAAUCUAUCUAACCAAUCUUGAAAAAAUUUAAAACAGAUGUAAAACAAAUAACAGGACUCUAAACCAUCCAUAAUAAGUCUAUUGAUGGAUAAUAACAAUAAUAAUGAUGUGAACUUUUUGAUUGGGAAUGCUGAAUUUAGAUUACAAUACCAAUGUGAAAGGAUUGAUGGCAUGUACCUUGGUUGGGAAAAUAGAUUGGACAUCUCUAUAGAUUUGUUGGAAGAAAAAAUCUAGUUUAUGUCUCAAGAGAGACAAGAAAUGAUGAAUGCCGGUGCUAUAAUAUAUGAUGAUUUUUAUGAAUUUGAUAAUCAUUUAGAUCUUUAUAACAAUAUAAUUAAAACUUCAAAAAGCUUUAAAAAUAGAUGCAGAAGAGAUUGGAAAAAAAAAAUCGUCUAGUUGUUCAAAACCAAUUAAACAAAAAUAAAAUGUGAAAUCCUUGAAUUAUAUAAAUUAUAUAAUUUCACAAAAAAUUGUGCUUUGGUGCUUAGUAUGGGUAAUUAGUGCGGUAUAAAUGCUCAUUUUUCUUUUUCUUUUGUAAAUAAAUUAUUGCAUCUUAAUUUUGUUACAUGUUACGAAUUUUGUGUUUUAAAAUACGCAAUUUUGUUUUCGUAUUUUGGGUUAAUUUUAUAAUUUCGUACUUUGUUCGACUAUAUGCACAGGUCCUUAACAUGUUGAUUGAUGUUGAAUAUAUAUUCAAAGAUCCACAAACUACCAAUGACAACAAAAGAAAUUAAACUAAAUAGUUAAUACAUAAUGAUUGGGUUGUUUUUACUACUUGUUAAUGAUGUAGGACGUUAUUUUAAGAUUUUAAGAUUUUAUUACUUUAGCCAUUUGAUAUUUCUUUUUUUAAUUAAGGUGUGUGUCUUAAUUUUUUUAUUUCUAUUAUAAUUAUGAUGUAGUUUCCAUUUUUAAGUUAACUUAGGUUAGUAGAUUUACUCUAUUAUAAAUACAGAGGUCUUGUAAUUAUUUUUGUAACUUCAACUUCAAUUAUUCAAUUAAAAACUCCUAUUUCAUAAUUUCCUUUGCUAUUAUAUAUUAAAAAUCUCUCUUGUAGAGUUGUUUAGAUUAUAGCAUCAUCUAACUUUGCGUAAUGCAAUAUUAAAAAUCCCAUUUAGUUAUUUGAAUUAGAACGAGAUCUAAUAACACUUCGAUUAGAAUGUAACUUAAUUGUGUUGUCUUGAUUCAGUACUUAAACGAUGUGUAGUGUUUCUCUUCCGCUACGUUGCUCCGUCGAUUAACAUUUCUAGGGGAAAAUUAAUUUCACCGUGAGAUAAGAGCAUUAAAAGGAGUUCAUAAGAAAGUAAAAUUAAUGCUAUGUUAAAUGUAUCGCAAGCUACUUAUUUUUCUGGAAAUUGAAACGAUUAAUUAACUACGAGGUGAAAAUAAAUAAAUAAAUGAAUAUGAAGUUGAAAAUAAGUCUCGCCGCCUGGACCCAAGGCCAAAACAUUCAUGAUAAGUUAGGUAAUUAAAUACAUGUUUCAAGCUACAUGUUUUCAAUCUCUUCAUGAAGAAUGAUGAUAUUGAAGUAAAUCACAGAGACUUGCUGUUCAAAUCAUUACUUUGAUACAAAAAAUGCCAUAUCAUUAAAAGGAUCGUGACUUUUAAUUACUUUAUUCCCUGUUUGGGCAACAGCUAGCCACUAAAGAAAAUCAUAAAAUUUUAUGUUUAGUCAAAUUUGUGCCAACCUGAUGACACCGUUUUCAUCAUUUGGUUACUAAUGUUUAACAUCAAGGUUAUAUAUGACAAGUUUGGUAGAGCAGGUGAAAAGCCUAAGUCUAUAUAAGGAGGGGAAGGAGCUUGGUUUAUAGCACAACCGAAACUCCACUUUGCAUUGAACGAUGGGGUCUCAAACGGGCUAUCUCUUUGCCACUCUUUUGGUAAUAUCAGUCUCUCUUAGCCACUUGCCAUUAGAAGCCUCCGCAAACAAUUACUACUACACAUCUCCUCCCCCACCAAAGAAAUAUCCACCACCACCACCUCCCCCUCCCCAGUACAAAUCUCCACCACCCCCGCCACCGGUUCACAAGUCUCCACCACCACCCCCGGAUUACAAGUCCCCGCCACCUCCUCCACCAGCCUGCGAGCCUGCUCCGCCACCAACUCCAAUUUUCCCUUCUCCGCCACCUCCUGUCCCCAAGUUCUCGCCACCACCGCCUCACCCUUACGUCUAUGCAUCUCCCCCUCCUCCUUACUACUACUAGAAAGCGGCCAUGAAUAGCUCAUGCUUUUAUGGUAAUCUCAUUUAUUUUUAAAACUGUACAUGUAAAGACUAGUAGUUCAAAAUUACAUUAAGCAUUUCAAUUUUAAGCACCGUGUUCUGUUUAAUUGUGUUCCUAGUGAUUAAGUGACAAAUAAAAGAGACUGAUGAAUUUGUUCUUGUAGG